UUUGACUAGAUGUUUUAUUAAUUAAUUCCCUCGUUCUCAUAUUUCUCAUAUUUCGAUGGCGUGCUGAGCGAGCUUUACGCUCUCCCAGCGUGACGUGAGUUGAUUAGGUUUUAUACAUUGUUUGUUUUUGUGUGUUUAGUUUGUGUUUGUUGUG
Long non-coding RNA from Drosophila navojoa, 154 nucleotides. Lineage: Eukaryota; Metazoa; Arthropoda; Insecta; Diptera; Drosophilidae. The record is from RefSeq and is a predicted model, not a curated record.